Pezoporus flaviventris is the source of this 1530-nucleotide long non-coding RNA. RefSeq lists it as uncharacterized. The record is from RefSeq and is a predicted model, not a curated record. NCBI's taxonomy places the organism in Eukaryota, Metazoa, Chordata, Aves, Psittaciformes, Psittacidae. The transcript has 2 exons.
GCCUUCAGGAAGCUGGGUUUCCUGGAGAAAGGAGCUUCCUUCUUCAUCCUCUUCUCCAUUAGCAUUGCUGAAGUGAAGUUCACAGAAAUUAUGUUGGCUCAGGAUGUUUUAUUUUAAAAGCAAACCCCCCAUACUCUGGUUGCUACCUCAGAGAAAUAACUGAUGUUAAAUAGUGCCAUGUCUCUGCUGGGAGAGCUGCUGCAGGGAGCCCACGGGAGGUGGACAAGGGAUGUCCCAGGCUUUCUUGUUCAAUCCUGAGGGUUCAGCUCACUGUGAAGCAGAUGAAUGGUUCUGAGUUUAGAAACAGAGCAAGAUAUGUGUUGUGUAUGGUGGCAACACCUCAAAGCAGUGGGAGGCCAGAGGUGCCCUGGAGGUUCUUCAGCACUGCUCCUCAAGAUGAGUCCUGCUUCCCCGUCCAAGCUUUGGCAAUGUGGAGCUGGGCACAAUGUGGAGGUAUCACAGCUGCGGGUGCAUGGCUUCCUUGCUCCCACCUGCACCUCACCUGCUGGCUGGCACAGCAUCAUGUGUCUCCUCUGCCUCUCCUCUCCCCUCCCUGGGACAGUGAUGCUGGCACUGCACCAUUUCCCAUAUUUAUGGCAGUAAAGCUGUAAUCUCCCUCGAUCCUCAGAAACCUCCAGGAGAGAUUGAUGGAAACACAGGUCAGCCAUUAGUGACCGCUGCAUAAAUCACCCUUAUUAGCCAAGCUCCCUUGGCAAGGCGUGCUGAUAUAUGGACCCGCGAAGUCUGUGAAGCAUUAAGGAAUCAUGACUGCAUACCUGGGGCAGCUGAGGAUCCCUGCUGCAUGAACAGCUUAUCUGGACAAGGGCAGCUGGAUUCUCCUUCUGGCCCUUCUUUUUGUUGUCUGCAAGUUUUUAUCCCUGCCCCAAACCACUUGGUAUUUUUUAAUCAGUCCCAGACUGUGCUUUGGGCUGGCUACUGAGAUGAUGAACAGCAGCAAAGGGAAACCCACCUGGGGCAGUGGCUCCCAAAGAGAGGAAGUGCCCUGAGCCUGAGCAGACAUCCCUCUGAAGAGGUAAAGGUGUCAGAGUAACCUGUCAUGGGAGCAUUUCCCAGUGCAGGAGCUGUGGGCAGUCUCUGCCUUUCAGUCCUGUCUGCUCAUCUGGAAACCUUAAACAGCAAACGGUACCAAACCCUGAUGUACCUGGUCAUGUGUACAGGCUGCUGCCAUCCCAUGGUUUGAUUUGAGACCGAGUACGUGCAGGUCUUGCUGUGUGAGGGAGGUUGAGGCCGAGACUCAACGUAGCAUGUGGAUGAUGGUGAAGGGCUUUUUGACACUGCAGCAGUCCUGCUACCUGGUGUGUGCGAGGGCUCGAAUGCAGUGGGCAGAGUCCACCUUUGGAUGAAAGCAGUGAGGGAAGGGCUGUGGAGAUGGCAUGUGGAAGAGGAUGCUUUGUGGCCAAUGAGGACAGAAAAGCCUGUGGGGAGAUGAGCUAAAUGCUCUCUGUGGACAUUUGCCCUAAUAGAAAUUCAGCAGUCAAUGCUGAUCAGCAGUAAAGGGCAUGGACACUG